GUGGGGAAUAUUGGGCAAUGGGGGAAACCCUGACCCAGCGACGCCGCGUGGGUGAAGAAAUCCUUCGGGAUGUAAAGCCCUGUUGUAUGGGAAGAGCGGAAGACGGUACCAUACGAGGAAGCCCCGGCAAACUACGUGCCAGCAGCCGCGGUAAUACGUAGGGGGCGAGCGUUGUCCGGAAUUACUGGGCGUAAAGCGCGCGUAGGCGGUCCAUUAAGUGUGCGGUGAAAUUCGGAGGCUCAACCUCCGUCCCGCCGCGCAAACUGAUGGUCUUGAGAGUGGGAGGGGGAUGCGGAAUUCCUGGUGUAGCGGUGAAAUGCAUUGAUAUCAGGAGGAACACCGGCGGCGAAAGCGGCAUCCUGGCUUAUAUCUGACGCUGAGGCGCGAAAGCGUGGGUAGCAAACGGGAUUAGAAACCCUAGUAGUCC
RNAcentral lists this ribosomal RNA (427 nucleotides) under uncultured bacterium. RNAcentral describes it as "partial 16S ribosomal RNA". It matches the Rfam family "Bacterial small subunit ribosomal RNA", at positions 354 to 796 of the family's 1533-position model. The record is from RNAcentral.